Molecule: long non-coding RNA, 207 nt
Filed under: Hordeum vulgare
Lineage: Eukaryota; Viridiplantae; Streptophyta; Magnoliopsida; Poales; Poaceae
Description: long non-coding RNA (HVUL_LNC019306)
Source: RNAcentral
AUUGGCUUACACUCGCCACAAGCUACAUCAGAGUCACAGCAGUACAAUACAUAAACAUCAUGAACAAGAGCAGGGUCCGACUACGGAUGAAAAACAAACGAGAAAAGAAGAACGACGUCCAUCCUUGCUAUCCCAGGCUGCCGGCCAGGAACCCAUCCUAGAUCGAUGAAGAAGAAGAAGCAACUCCAAAUGAACAAUCAACGCGCU